Molecule: ribosomal RNA, 468 nt
Filed under: uncultured bacterium
Lineage: Bacteria
Description: partial 16S ribosomal RNA
Rfam family: Bacterial small subunit ribosomal RNA
Source: RNAcentral
GACGAACGCUGGCGGCGUGCUUAACACAUGCAAGUCGAACGGAAAGGCCCUGCUUUUGUGGGGUGCUCGAGUGGCGAACGGGUGAGUAACACGUGAGUAACCUGCCCUUGACUUUGGGAUAACCUCAGGAAACUGGGGCUAAUACCGGAUAGGAGCUCCUGCUGCAUGGUGGAGGUUGGAAAGUUUCGGCGGUUGGGGAUGGACUCGCGGCUUAUCAGCUUGUUGGUGGGGUAGUGGCUUACCAAGGCUUUGACGGGUAGCCGGCCUGAGAGGGUGACCGGCCACAUUGGGACUGAGAUACGGCCCAGACUCCUACGGGAGGCAGCAGUGGGGAAUAUUGCACAAUGGGCGGAAGCCUGAUGCAGCAACGCCGCGUGCGGGAUGACGGCCCUCGGGUUGUAAACCGCUUUCGCCUGUGACGAAGCGUGAGUGACGGUAAUGGGUAAAGAAGCACCGGCUAACUACGUG